This 923-nucleotide ribosomal RNA is filed under the name uncultured bacterium. RNAcentral's name for it is "bacterial SSU rRNA". It matches the Rfam family "Bacterial small subunit ribosomal RNA", at positions 9 to 940 of the family's 1533-position model. The record is from RNAcentral.
GAGUUUGAUCCUGGCUCAGGAUGAACGCUAGCGGCAGGCUUAACACAUGCAAGUCGAGGGGUAUAGUAGCAAUACUAGAGACCGGCGCACGGGUGCGUAACGCGUAUGCAAUCUACCUUUUACAGAGGGAUAGCCCAGAGAAAUUUGGAUUAAUACCUCAUAGUGUUAUAGAAUGGCAUCAUUUUAUAACUAAAGUUCCAACGGUAAAAGAUGAGCAUGCGUCCCAUUAGUUAGUUGGUAAGGUAACGGCUUACCAAGACUAUGAUGGGUAGGGGUCCUGAGAGGGAGAUCCCCCACACUGGUACUGAGACACGGACCAGACUCCUACGGGAGGCAGCAGUGAGGAAUAUUGGACAAUGGGCGCAAGCCUGAUCCAGCCAUGCCGCGUGCAGGAAGAAGCAUCUAUGGUGUGUAAACUGCUUUUGUACAGGAAGAAACACUCCCUCGUGAGGGAGCUUGACGGUACUGUAAGAAUAAGGAUCGGCUAACUCCGUGCCAGCAGCCGCGGUAAUACGGAGGAUCCAAGCGUUAUCCGGAAUCAUUGGGUUUAAAGGGUCCGUAGGCGGUUUGAUAAGUCAGUGGUGAAAGCCCAUCGCUCAACGAUGGAACGGCCAUUGAUACUGUCAGACUUGAAUUACUAGGAAGUAACUAGAAUAUGUAGUGUAGCGGUGAAAUGCUUAGAUAUUACAUGGAAUACCAAUUGCGAAGGCAGGUUACUACUAGUGGAUUGACGCUGAUGGACGAAAGCGUGGGGAGCGAACAGGAUUAGAUACCCUGGUAGUCCACGCCGUAAACGAUGGAUACUAGCUGUUGGGUGCAAACUCAGUGGCUAAGCGAAAGUGAUAAGUAUCCCACCUGGGGAGUACGUUCGCAAGAAUGAAACUCAAAGGAAUUGACGGGGGCCCGCACAAGCGGUGGAGCAU